GAUUAUUUAUAUUAUACUAUUUUUUUUGGUUUCGCCCCAAAUUAUUCAAGAAAUAGUUC
RNAcentral lists this transfer RNA (59 nucleotides) under Nemopilema nomurai. RNAcentral's name for it is "tRNA-Arg". The record is from RNAcentral. Lineage: Eukaryota; Metazoa; Cnidaria; Scyphozoa; Rhizostomeae; Rhizostomatidae.